RNAcentral lists this long non-coding RNA (379 nucleotides) under Nicotiana benthamiana. Its description in RNAcentral is "long non-coding RNA (NBEN_LNC008423)". Lineage: Eukaryota; Viridiplantae; Streptophyta; Magnoliopsida; Solanales; Solanaceae. The record is from RNAcentral.
AUGGUAAGCUUUUUUGAAACUAGCAAGGGCGGGUUCAGCAAUUUUGGAGAGCUAAAGUGCCUGGAACAUUUGAAGCUGUUGAAUGAUGUUUUAUCCAAAGAUCUGCACCUUCCUCCAGCAUUCUUUGGAUUUCUUCGCAAUCUGAAGAAAUUAACCUUGUCAAAAACACAGUUUGAAUGGAGCGAGGCGAACAGAUUGGCGCACAUUCUUAGGAUUUCUUCGCAAUCUGAAGAAAUUAACCUUGUCAAAAACACAGUUUGAAUGGAGCGAGGCGAACAGAUUGGCUCAAUUGGAAUGCCUUGAGGUCCUGAAAUUGAAAGAAAAUGCAUUUAUUGGGCCGUCCUGGGAGUCUGAUAUAGGAGGUUUUAGCCUACUCAAG